GAUAUUGCGCAAUGGGCGAAAGCCUGACGCAGCGACGCCGCGUGGGUGAUGAAGGCCUUCGGGUCGUAAAGCCCUGUCGAGGGGAACGAAACGGUCUCGACCUAACACGUCGAGUCCCUGACGGUACCCCUAAAGGAAGCACCGGCUAACUCCGUGCCAGCAGCCGCGGUAAUACGGAGGGUGCGAGCGUUGUCCGGAAUCAUUGGGCGUAAAGGGCGCGUAGGUGGCCCGGUCAGUCCGUGGUGAAAGCGCGGGGCUCAACCCUGCGUCGGCCAUGGAUACUGCCGCGGCUCGAGCACUGUAGAGGCAGGCGGAAUUCCGGGUGUAGCGGUGGAAUGCGUAGAGAUCCGGAAGAACACCGGUGGCGAAGGCGGCCUGCUGGGCAGUUUGGCUGACACUGAGGCGCGACAGCGUGGGGAGCAAAC
This 425-nucleotide ribosomal RNA is filed under the name uncultured bacterium. Its description in RNAcentral is "bacterial SSU rRNA". It matches the Rfam family "Bacterial small subunit ribosomal RNA", at positions 359 to 773 of the family's 1533-position model. The record is from RNAcentral.